AUACGGAGGGUGCAAGCGUUACUCGGAAUCACUGGGCGUAAAGCGCGCGCAGGCGGGCUGAUAAGUUGGAUGUGAAAGCCUACGGCUCAACCGUAGAACUGCAUCCAAAACUGUCAGUCUAGAGUCUGGGAGGGGAAGAUGGAAUUAGUUGUGUAGGGGUAAAAUCCGUAGAGAUACCUAGGAAUACCAAAAGCGAAGGCGAUCUUCUGGAACAGUACUGACGCUGAGGCGCGAAAGCGUGGGGAGCAAACAGGAUUAGAAACCCCAGUAGUCC
RNAcentral lists this ribosomal RNA (274 nucleotides) under uncultured bacterium. RNAcentral's name for it is "partial 16S ribosomal RNA". It matches the Rfam family "Bacterial small subunit ribosomal RNA", at positions 523 to 796 of the family's 1533-position model. The record is from RNAcentral.